This 594-nucleotide ribosomal RNA is filed under the name uncultured Bacteroidota bacterium. RNAcentral's name for it is "bacterial SSU rRNA". It matches the Rfam family "Bacterial small subunit ribosomal RNA", at positions 122 to 715 of the family's 1533-position model. Lineage: Bacteria; Pseudomonadati; Bacteroidota. The record is from RNAcentral.
CAACCUGCCGAUGACUCGGGGAUAGCCUUUCGAAAGAAAGAUUAAUACCCGAUGGCAUAGUUCUUCNNCAUGGUAGAACUAUUAAAGAAUUUCGGUCAUCGAUGGGGAUGCGUUCCAUUAGGUUGUUGGCGGGGUAACGGCCCACCAAGCCUUCGAUGGAUAGGGGUUCUGAGAGGAAGGUCCCCCACAUUGGAACUGAGACACGGUCCAAACUCCUACGGGAGGCAGCAGUGAGGAAUAUUGGUCAAUGGACGAGAGUCUGAACCAGCCAAGUAGCGUGAAGGAUGACUGCCCUAUGGGUUGUAAACUUCUUUUAUACGGGAAUAAAGUGAGGCACGUGUGCCUUUUUGUAUGUACCGUAUGAAUAAGGAUCGGCUAACUCCGUGCCAGCAGCCGCGGUAAUACGGAGGAUCCGAGCGUUAUCCGGAUUUAUUGGGUUUAAAGGGAGCGUAGGCGGACGCUUAAGUCAGUUGUGAAAGUUUGCGGCUCAACCGUAAAAUUGCAGUUGAUACUGGGUGUCUUGAGUACAGUAGAGGCAGGCGGAAUUCGUGGUGUAGCGGUGAAAUGCUUAGAUAUCACGAAGAACUCCGAUUG